GAUGAACGCUGACAGAAUGCUUAACACAUGCAAGUCGAUGGGGAAGUGGUGCUUGCACCAUGGCAACCAUGGCGGACGGGUGAGUAACGCGUAAGGGACUUACCUGCAGGACUGGGAUAACAGGGGGAAACUCCUGACAAGACCGGAUAAUGUCAUGGAGCUGCAUGGCUUUAUGAUGAAAGGAGACGCCUGCGGAGAGCCUUGCGUCCUAUUAGCUAGUUGGUGAGGUAAUGGCUCACCAAGGCGAAGAUAGGUAGCCGGCCUGAGAGGGUGGACGGCCACAAGGGGACUGAGAUACGGCCCUUACUCCUACGGGAGGCAGCAGUGGGGAAUAUUGGACAAUGGGGGCAACACUGAUCAAGCACUUCUGUGUGCACGAAGAAGGUUUUCGGAUUGUAAAGUGCUUUCAGCAGGGAAGAAGUAAGUGACGGUACCUGCAGAAGAAGCGACGGCUAAAUACGUG
RNAcentral lists this ribosomal RNA (463 nucleotides) under uncultured bacterium. Its description in RNAcentral is "partial 16S ribosomal RNA". It matches the Rfam family "Bacterial small subunit ribosomal RNA", at positions 28 to 507 of the family's 1533-position model. The record is from RNAcentral.